This 777-nucleotide ribosomal RNA is filed under the name uncultured bacterium. RNAcentral's name for it is "bacterial SSU rRNA". It matches the Rfam family "Bacterial small subunit ribosomal RNA", at positions 20 to 788 of the family's 1533-position model. The record is from RNAcentral.
UGGCUCAGAUUGAACGCUGGCGGCAUGCUUUACACAUGCAAGUCGGACGGCAGCACAGAGAAGCUUGCUUCUUGGGUGGCGAGUGGCGAACGGGUGAGUAAUGUAUCGGAACGUACCGAGUAAUGGGGGAUAACUAAUCGAAAGAUUAGCUAAUACCGCAUAUUCUCUGAGGAGGAAAGCAGGGGACCUUCGGGCCUUGCGUUAUUCGAGCGGCCGAUAUCUGAUUAGCUAGUUGGUGGGGUAAAGGCUGACCAAGCCGACGAUCUCUAGCUGGUCUGAGAGGAUGACCAGCCACACUGGAACUGAGACACGGUCCAGACUCCUACGGGAGGCAGCAGUGGGGAAUAUUGCACAAUGGGGGGAACCCUGAUGCAGCCAUGCCGCGUGAAUGAAGAAGGCCUUCGGGUUGUAAAGUUCUUUCGGUGACGAGGAAGGUUGGUAUGUUAAUAGCAUAUCAAAUUGACGUUAAUCACAAAAGAAGCACCGGCUAACUCCGUGCCAGCAGCCGCGGUAAUACGGGGGGUGCGAGCGUUAAUCGGAAUAACUGGGCGUAAAGGGCACGCAGGCGGUGACUUAAGCAGGAUGUGAAAUCCCCGGGCUCAACCUGGGAACUGCGUUCUGAACUGGGUGACUAGAGUGUGUCAGAGGGAGGUAGAAUUCCACGUGUAGCAGUGAAAUGCGUAGAGAUGUGGAGGAAUACCGAUGGCGAAGGCAGCCUCCUGGAUACACUGACGUUCAUGCUCGAAAGCGUGGGUAGCAAACAGGAUUAGAUACCCU